UGUAGUUGAUGGAUACUCUUAUCCACAUCUGACAUAGAGCAUGAAUGUAGCUGGAAGGCAUAUAACAUCUUAUCUUGUUGACCUACUCUCAAGGAAAGGGUAUGCCAUGAAUAAAUCUGCUGAUUUUGAGACUGUCAGAGAAAUAAAAGAGAAACUGUUCUAUAUAAGCUAGGACUUGAGACCACAAUCCAUGUGAAAAGUUACACUCUUCCAGAUGGAAGAGUUAUUAAAGUAGGCUCCUGAAGCUCUUUUCA
Zea mays is the source of this 254-nucleotide long non-coding RNA. RefSeq lists it as uncharacterized. NCBI's taxonomy places the organism in Eukaryota, Viridiplantae, Streptophyta, Magnoliopsida, Poales, Poaceae. The transcript is spliced from 4 exons. The record is from RefSeq and is a predicted model, not a curated record.